Molecule: ribosomal RNA, 551 nt
Filed under: uncultured archaeon
Lineage: Archaea
Description: bacterial SSU rRNA
Rfam family: Archaeal small subunit ribosomal RNA
Source: RNAcentral
ACGGGGUGCAGCAGGCGCGAAAACUUUACAAUGCGGGAAACCGCGAUAAGGGGACACCGAGUGCCAGCAUAUUAUGUUGGCUGUCCAUAUGUAUAAAUAACAUGUGUUAGCAAGGGCCGGGCAAGACCGGUGCCAGCCGCCGCGGUAACACCGGCGGCCCGAGUGGUAGCCACUAUUAUUGGGUCUAAAGGGUCCGUAGCCGGUUUGAUCAGUCUUCCGGGAAAUCUGACAGCUCAACUGUUAGGCUUCCGGGGGAUACUGUCAGACUUGGAACCGGGAGAGGUAAGAGGUACUACAGGGGUAGGAGUGAAAUCUUGUAAUCCUUGUGGGACCACCAGUGGCGAAGGCGUCUUACCAGAACGGGUUCGACGGUGAGGGACGAAAGCUGGGGGCACGAACCGGAUUAGAUACCCGGGUAGUCCCAGCCGUAAACGAUGCUCGCUAGGUGUCUGGGAUGGUGCGACCGUUUCAGGUGCCGCAGGGAAGCCGUGAAGCGAGCCACCUGGGAAGUACGGCCGCAAGGCUGAAACUUAAAGGAAUUGGCGGGGGAG